GAUGAACGCUGGCGGCGUGCCUAAUACAUGCAAGUCGAGCGAACAGACGAGGAGCUUGCUCCUCUGAUGUUAGCGGCGGACGGGUGAGUAACACGUGGAUAACCUACCUAUAAGACUGGGAUAACUUCGGGAAACCGGAGCUAAUACCGGAUAACAUGUUGAACCGCAUGGUUCAACAGUGAAAGACGGUCUUGCUGUCACUUAUAGAUGGAUCCGCGCCGCAUUAGCUAGUUGGUAAGGUAACGGCUUACCAAGGCAACGAUGCGUAGCCGACCUGAGAGGGUGAUCGGCCACACUGGAACUGAGACACGGUCCAGACUCCUACGGGAGGCAGCAGUAGGGAAUCUUCCGCAAUGGGCGAAAGCCUGACGGAGCAACGCCGCGUGAGUGAUGAAGGUCUUCGGAUCGUAAAACUCUGUUAUUAGGGAAGAACAAAUGUGUAAGUAACUAUGCACGUCUUGACGGUACCUAAUCAGAAAGCCACGGCUAACUACGUG
Molecule: ribosomal RNA, 497 nt
Filed under: uncultured bacterium
Lineage: Bacteria
Description: partial 16S ribosomal RNA
Rfam family: Bacterial small subunit ribosomal RNA
Source: RNAcentral